RNAcentral lists this ribosomal RNA (433 nucleotides) under uncultured bacterium. RNAcentral's name for it is "partial 16S ribosomal RNA". It matches the Rfam family "Bacterial small subunit ribosomal RNA", at positions 29 to 507 of the family's 1533-position model. The record is from RNAcentral.
AACGAACGCUGGCGGCAGGCUUAACACAUGCAAGUCGAACGCACCUUUCGGGGUGAGUGGCAGACGGGUGAGUAACGCGCGGGAAUCUACCCUUCUCUACGGGAUAGCUCCGGGAAACUGGAAUUAAUACCGUAUACGUCCUGAGGGAGAAAGAUUUAUCGGGGAAGGAUGAGCCCGCGUUGGAUUAGCUAGUUGGUGGGGUAAAGGCCUACCAAGGCGACGAUCCAUAGCUGGUCUAAGAGGAUGAUCAGCCACAUUGGGACUGAGACACGGCCCAAACUCCUACGGGAGGCAGCAGUGGGGAAUAUUGGACGAUGGGCGCAAGCCUGAUCCAGCCAUGCCGCGUGAGUGAUGAAGGCCCUAGGGUUGUAAAGCUCUUUCAGUGGGGACGAUAAUGACGGUACCCACAGAAGAAGCCCCGGCUAACUUCGUG